GAUGAAGAACGCAGCGAAAUGCGAUAAGUAAUGUGAAUUGCAGAAUCCAGUGAAUCAUCGAAUCUUUGAACGCACAUUGCGCCCGCCAGCAUUCUGGCGGGCAUGCCUGUUCGAGCGUCAUUUCAACCCUCGACCUCCCUUUGGGGAAGUCGGCGUUGGGGACCGGCAGCACACCGCCGGCCCUGAAAUGGAGUGGCGGCCCGUCCGCGGCGACCUCUGCGUAGUAAUCCAACUCGCACCGGAACCCCGACGAGGCCACGCCGUAAAACACCCAACUUCUGAACGUUGACCUCGAAUAAGGUAGGACUACCCGCUGAACUUAAGCAUAUCAAUAAGCGGAGGA
RNAcentral lists this unclassified non-coding RNA (343 nucleotides) under soil metagenome. Its description in RNAcentral is "partial contains 5.8S ribosomal RNA, internal transcribed spacer 2, and large subunit ribosomal RNA". The stretch from base 1 to 120 matches the Rfam family "5.8S ribosomal RNA", at positions 35 to 154 of the family's 154-position model. The record is from RNAcentral.